This 74-nucleotide transfer RNA is filed under the name Candidatus Taylorbacteria bacterium RIFCSPHIGHO2_01_FULL_45_63. RNAcentral describes it as "tRNA-Ala". It matches the Rfam family "tRNA". From Rfam's summary of the family: Transfer RNA (tRNA) molecules are approximately 80 nucleotides in length. Their secondary structure includes four short double-helical elements and three loops (D, anti-codon, and T loops). The record is from RNAcentral. RNAcentral also lists the same sequence under 2 other names. Lineage: Bacteria; Candidatus Tayloriibacteriota.
GGGCCUAUAGUAAAAUGGUAUUACGCGCCCAUGGCAUGGGCGAAGCGCCGGUCCGAUUCCGGCUAGGUCCACAA